RNAcentral lists this long non-coding RNA (1352 nucleotides) under Marmota monax (woodchuck). Lineage: Eukaryota; Metazoa; Chordata; Mammalia; Rodentia; Sciuridae. The record is from RNAcentral.
CCAGGCCGCAUGCAUGCCAAGCGAGCACGCCACCACUUGAGCCACAUCCCCAGCCCUAAAAAAUAUUUUUUUAAAAAAGUAUAUUUCAUGGGGAAAGGGGUAAUUAAUUCUGUCAAAUGUUGCAGAUAUUCAAAACCAGCCUCAGCAACUUAGCAAGAUUCUGUCUAAAAAAUAAAAGAAAAUGUUGCACAUUGGUUAAAGUAGGGAGCAAGAACUGACUACCUCAGAGAGAACAGUAAGACAAAAGUUUAUUUAAAUACAUAUAAUGGCAGUUGCUAGAAGAUAUGUGUCACUUUUUUGCCCAAACUUCAUUUUUACAACCUUUUGGCGGAGUGAUUUAAUAAUAUAUUGAUAUUAUUGUAAUUCCACUUCUUGGAAUUUAUCCUUAAUUAAUAUUCACACAGAUACACAAAGAUAUAUAGGAAAAUGUUAAUUACAACAUCAACUUCAAUAGUAAACCUCAAUAGCCUUCAUCAUAAUGAAUCUCUGUAAAGGCAGGUUAUCUGUAAAAUGUAUAUUACCAUUUAAUUUAUUAGUAUAUCCCCCAAAGGCCUUCUUUGGUUAUACUAUUAAAAGUUGCCCUCUAAUUUACCUCUCCUUUACUUUCACAUGAGCUUAUUUUAUUCAUAGCACUUAUUACCAUAAAAAUGAUUUGGUUUUAAGUUAUUUGUGGACUAUCUGCUUUCUCCACCAGAGUCUGAGCUUUAUAAGAUUUCCUUUGUUGUUCAUACUUACCUACCUACUGCACAUGGAUAUUUUUUAUUUUAUUUUUAUUUUUUAUAGUGUCGAGGAUCGAACCCAGGGCCUUGCAUACAAUAGGUAAGUGCUCUAUCACUAAGUUACAUCCCUAUCCUCAGUGAGUAUAAUUUUUAAAAAAUCUUGUAGAGGGAAAAAAUGCUUCCUGUUAUUCUGGAGUAGUUAUUUAUUACUCUCAUUUCUAUAACUUAAUUUCUCCAGCCUCAUUUUUAUCAUAUAUAGAUGAAGACAGUGGGCAAUUAUUCUCAGCCCUAAAUUUAUUUAUUUUUUGUUUGUUUUGGUGCUGGGGAUUGAACCCAGGGAAUUGUGCAUGUGAGGCAAGCACUCUACCAACUGAGUAUAUCCCCAGCCCCUAAAUUUACAUUUUAAUGACCUAUAUAGCUUUUAGUAUGAAGUUAUGCCGGUUCUACCUUUGACUAAUAAAGUCAUAAAUUGGGGUAAGGUCAAGGUAUCAGUAUUCUUUGAAGAUUUAUUUGAUAUUAAAAGAUAUUUCUGGUUAUUUCAAGAUCAAGAAUACAUUAUAGAGCCAGCAAUGGCUGUGCCUAACUAUAUUCUCAGGAGACUGAGGCAGGAGGAUCACAAGUUCAAGGCUUACC